GCCAUUAUACAGACUGUUAUAGAGGACCCCCACAUCCGCAAUGUAUUGAUGUUCCCACCUGGCACUGACCUGCACAUACAGCCAUUAUACAUGAGUGGCUCUAUAAUUCUGCAGGAUAAGGCUAGCUGUUUUCCUGCCCAUGUGCUAUCCCCACUCCCUGGCUCCAUGUUGAUAGACUGCUGUGCUGCCCCGGGCAACAAAACCACACACCUGGCAGCCAUACUAAACAACAAAGGCUGCAAGUGAAGGAGACAGGGAACAGAAAAAAAGGUCACGAAAACGAGAAGCGGAAAGUAAUGAGAAAAGGAAACAGGAGCAGAAAACGUAAGGAAAGCAAUAAAAAUCCAUCAGAUAAUGUAGUCAAUUUGUUUGCAGUUUAUUGUCACUAUGUUACGUAGGUAAAAAGGUUGACCAUAACUCUAACUAUAAUUUUU
Long non-coding RNA from Dreissena polymorpha, 434 nucleotides. RefSeq lists it as uncharacterized. The record is from RefSeq and is a predicted model, not a curated record. Lineage: Eukaryota; Metazoa; Mollusca; Bivalvia; Myida; Dreissenidae. The transcript has 3 exons.